ACAUUCAUAACUGUGUGCACUGAUUAUUUUUAAAUCCUCUUCUGUUCAUGCACAGAGACUUCAAGGUCAUACCUGGCUGUAACAGGUAAACUUUCUGGACCUCUUUAUGAUCUCAGCACAGACAGAACACUGUUAUAUUUACUGAUCAGAGCUUGUAGAUCUUGCCUCUUAACAAGUUCAUCUUCAGGUGCUUUUAUACAGGUCAGAAAGACGGUGGAUGCAGAGCCUAUCCCGGGAACGCUAGAUGUGAUGCAGGGGAUACAUCCUGGACGGGACGCUAGUCUAUCCCAGGACACAAUGCACACAAAUUUGUUCACACCAAAGGGCAGUUUAGUCACCAGUCCACCUACUGGCUUGUUUUUGGGGAGUUGGAGGAAACCGGAGAACUCUGAGGAAACCCAUGGGGACACAGGGAAGUAACCAGAGCUCAGGAUAUUUAUCAGUGACAGCCAUUAGAGCGUUUUAUUUUUCACCCACAGAACCAAAAGCAAUACAAAGUGUUAUUCCAAAAUGUUUAGCAUAUGAGCAAGUUCAUCUUCUUCUUCAGGUUCAUUUAGUUGAGACAGGGUCACAGUGAAUCCACAUCCAGGGAAUGGGGCGCACACACUUAUUCAGACUUGCACAGGGCAUUAUAUCCACACACACACACACACAUUUGUUCACAUAAAGGGGCAAUUUUGAGACAAUAAUCCACCCACCGGCAUGUUUUUGGGAAGUUGGAGGAACCCAGAGAUCUCUAUGGAAACUCAAGUGGCAAACCAAGUGAAACUCCAGAUAGACAGCUCAGGAUCGAACUAGGAACAUAAUCCAACUAUUUAAAUAAUAACAUACAUCAGCCCAGGGUUAUAUUUAUUAAUCAAAGCCAUUAGAGCUUUUUUUAGUUACAAAGUAUAGAUCUUAAACUUUUUGCAUAUGAUUAAUCUUCAUAAUCAGUAAGCGGUUAGAGUCGUGUCUGAUCCGGAGUCUAUCACGGGAACACUAGCUGGAGGAUCUGGAGCCUAUCCCACAAACACUAGGUGUGGUGCAGAAAUACACCAUGGAUGGGACACCAGUCUAUCACAGGACACAACACACACGUUCAUUCACACCAAGGGGCAAUUUAGAGUCACCAGUCCACCUCCCGGCAUGUUUUUGUGAUGUGAGAGGAAACCCACACGGCGAACAAGUGAAAGUCCACACAGACAGUAACCCUCGGGCUCAGGAUCGAACCAAAGACCCUGGAGCUAAGGUGUAUGAACGUGACAUGAUUAUAAUCAAACUAUUCAGAUAUUAAGCACAUUGUUAUAUUUAUCAAUCAGAGCCAUUUUUAUUUUCACCCAAGGAACCAACAGCAGUUACAGACUUUAGCUUUUGCAUAUGAACAAGUUCAUUUUCAUCUUCAGUAAGCUCUUUAUCUUGGUCAGGGAUGCGGAGGAUCUGGAGUCUAUCAGAAACACUGGGUGUGAGAGAAAUGCUCAGUAAGUGUUCUUGCAGCUGGGAUAAUGACUCUUGGAUUUGGGAGGGAAGAUCGUGGCCGAGAUCCUCCAUGGCGCGGGACAGGAACGCCUCAGCUGCUUCUUGGACUGCAGCGCGGGUCACCUGGUCAUUCUGGGUCCACAUGGGAGUGCGGGUCAGCUUGAACCGCUCUGUAAUGGAGUAGCGAAGAUGACCUGAUGGAGGAAAUGUAAAAUUAACAUUAAAAAGAGUUUGCUGAAUGGACAAGAAGAGGGAAGGAUUUAGUUUUGUACCUGUUAUCACUUCUUGAUAGCUGAGCAUGAGCAUCCACACAAGCUGCAGGAGCUCAUCCCACCUUCUCCAUCUCUCUGCGCCAUCCUGAUAGAAAAAAGAACAACAUGCAGUGGUGUAAUCAGAAAACGCUUUCUGCUGCCUGCAAUUCCUCCUUGGAGGUUUGUGGGUUUGAGUUUGGGGGUUGUGAUAUCUGUUCAAGUGGUUUUGGUGAAAAUUUCUUUGUUUUUAUUGGAGUUUUUUAGUAGCAUCAGUGAGAAGUUUAACAGGCAGAAUGAACACUGUUGUAGGCGUCACGUUACAUUCGUAUAUGUGGCUGCCAUGACUUUUUGUUCCUGACACGUCCCAAUGGAAUCUCGCCUCGCAAUGACGAUAUUCUCAACAGGAUCUGAAGGCAGCAUUACAACCCUUCUUAUGUGGCAAUACAUAGUACACAGAUUUACCAGUUUAACCAUAUCAAGUUAUUCAACAUAUCUAGUUUAUUAACUAUGCUGCUGAAGUAACUAAUAACCUGGUAAAUCAGUGUAUAGCCCAUAAGGUCAGAUAUAUAUAACAGCUGUAUGCUAAACAGAGUGCUGUCCAAGCGUGAAAAAGCACCUCACAUGACGCACACACAGUAACCCUAACAACAUUCUUACCUGUCCUAACUAGUAUCAGCUAAAUAACUAGCUUAGCUUAAAUAUUAGAAAGAUGAAAUAAAGAUUGGUGUAACUCUGGUGAUGAGGAGGUUUUUUGCUUUUUGCCUAUAGCUUUGGAGGUGGAAAAUCAAGAGAAUUUGACUGUAUGCAUCCACAGUUAUUGUGACAUCACAUCACGUAAUGUUAAACGUCCCAAAAACAGACACGUUGUUAUUUUUAGCUACACUGCAAUGUUGGAGUAUAUUUUUGAUUCAACACACUGUAAAUCUUCUCAUAUUUUCCCACGAACAAGACUGAUUUUUCACCACAAGUGUGAAAAGAGCCUUACAGAAAUGUCUCACAGGUAAAAUACUAUUUUUUUCCUUAAAAUCCAGAACACAUGGCCAUCGAUAUUCAUCAGAUAUGUUCUAUUACUAGCUCAAAAUCUGUUUUUAUACUAUUGACAUUGAAAAAAUCUACCCAAAAAUAUUUUUUUGUUUGUUAUACCUAUAUUUUAGUUUAGUCCUUGUUAUGUUCAAUUUUUUUUAACCAAAAAAAAAAAAAAAAAAAAAAAGCUGUGAGCAUGAGUAUGAUUACGAUGAUGAUGAAGAUGAUUAAUAUGAGUGAGUGUGAAAUGCUGCGGUCUCACCGAU
Long non-coding RNA from Pangasianodon hypophthalmus (striped catfish), 2995 nucleotides. RefSeq lists it as uncharacterized. The transcript is spliced from 3 exons. The record is from RefSeq and is a predicted model, not a curated record. Lineage: Eukaryota; Metazoa; Chordata; Actinopteri; Siluriformes; Pangasiidae.